GAUGAACGCUGGCGGCGUGCCUAAUACAUGCAAGUCGAGCGAACAGACGAGGAGCUUGCUCCUCUGACGUUAGCGGCGGACGGGUGAGUAACACGUGGAUAACCUACCUAUAAGACUGGGAUAACUUCGGGAAACCGGAGCUAAUACCGGAUAAUAUAUUGAACCGCAUGGUUCAAUAGUGAAAGACGGUUUUGCUGUUACUUAUAGAUGGUUCCGCGCCGCAUUAGCUAGUUGGUAAGGUAACGGCUUACCAAGGCGACGAUGCGUAGCCGACCUGAGAGGGUGAUCGGCCAAACUGGAACUGAGACACGGUCCAGACUCCUACGGGAGGCAGCAGUAGGGAAUCUUCCGCAAUGGGCGAAAGCCUGACGGAGCAACGCCGCGUGAGUGAUGAAGGUCUUCGGAUCGUAAAACUCUGUUAUUAGGGAAGAACAAAUGUGUAAGUAACUAUGCACGUCUUGACGGUACCUAAUCAGAAAGCCACGGCUAACUACGUG
RNAcentral lists this ribosomal RNA (497 nucleotides) under uncultured bacterium. RNAcentral describes it as "partial 16S ribosomal RNA". It matches the Rfam family "Bacterial small subunit ribosomal RNA", at positions 28 to 507 of the family's 1533-position model. The record is from RNAcentral.